Molecule: ribosomal RNA, 591 nt
Filed under: Abantennarius rosaceus (spiny-tufted frogfish)
Lineage: Eukaryota; Metazoa; Chordata; Actinopteri; Lophiiformes; Antennariidae
Description: partial 16S ribosomal RNA
Rfam family: Bacterial large subunit ribosomal RNA
Source: RNAcentral
AAAACAUCACCUCUUGUAAACAUCAAAUAAGAGGCCCCGCCUGCCCUGUGACUAUAUGUUUAACGGCCGCGGUAUCUUGACCGUGCAAAGGUAGCGCAAUCAAUUGUCUUUUAAAUGAAGACCUGUAUGAAUGGCGUGACGAGGGCUUAACUGUCUCCUUCUCUUGGUCAAUGAAAUUGAUCUCCCCGUGCAGAAGCGGGGAUAGACACAUAAGACGAGAAGACCCUGUGGAGCUUUAGACGAAAGAGUAGCCCAAUGUUAAAUUAUCCAUUCAAAAGAUUUUAAGUCAAGGCCCCUAUUCUUAUGUCUUUGGUUGGGGCGACCAUGGAGUAAAAAUUAACCUCCACGCGGAAUAAAAGUACUACUCAGUAAAACCAGGGCUACCGCCCUACUAAUCAGAACUUCUGACCUCAUAGAUCCGGCUUACGCCGAUCAACGGACCGAGUUACCCCAGGGAUAACAGCGCAAUCCUCUUUAAAAGACCAUAUCUAAAAGGGGGUUUACGACCUCGAUGUUGGAUCAGGACAUCCUAUUGGUGCAGCCGCUAUUAAGGGUUCGUUUGUUCAACGAUUAAAGUCCUACGUGAUCUGA